UACAGAGGGGGCAAGCGUUGUUCGGAAUUACUGGGCGUAGAGGGCGCGUAGGCGGCCUUCUAAGUCGAACGUGAAAUCCCCGGGCUCAACCCGGGAACUGCGUCCGAUACUGGAAGGCUUGAAUCCGGGAGAGGGAUGUGGAAUUCCAGGUGUAGCGGUGAAAUGCGUAGAUAUCUGGAGGAACACCGGUGGCGAAGGCGACAUCCUGGACCGGUAUUGACGCUGAGGCGCGAAAGCCAGGGGAGCAAACGGG
This 253-nucleotide ribosomal RNA is filed under the name uncultured bacterium. Its description in RNAcentral is "partial 16S ribosomal RNA". It matches the Rfam family "Bacterial small subunit ribosomal RNA", at positions 524 to 776 of the family's 1533-position model. The record is from RNAcentral.